GAUGAACGCUAGCGGCAGGCUUAACACAUGCAAGUCGAGGGGCAGCGCGAUGUAGCAAUACAUUGGCGGCGACCGGCGCACGGGUGCGUAACACGUAUGGAACUUACCCUUUACUGGGAGAUAGCCCGGAGAAAUCCGGAUUAAUAUCCCAUAAUAAACGAAGUGGCAUCACUUUGUUUUGAAAGCUCCGGCGGUAAAGGAUGGCCAUGCGCACGAUUAGCUAGUAGGUGAGGUAACGGCUCACCUAGGCUACGAUCGUUAGGGGGCCUGAGAGGGUUAUCCCCCACACUGGUACUGAGACACGGACCAGACUCCUACGGGAGGCAGCAGUGAGGAAUAUUGCGCAAUGGAGGCAACUCUGACGCAGCCAUGCCGCGUGCAGGAAGAAGGCGCUACGCGUUGUAAACUGCUUUUAUCCGGGAAGAAACCCCAGGACGUGUCCUGGGUUGACGGUACCGGAGGAAUAAGCACCGGCUAACUUCGUGCCAGCAGCCGCGGUAAAGUAG
RNAcentral lists this ribosomal RNA (506 nucleotides) under uncultured bacterium. RNAcentral's name for it is "bacterial SSU rRNA". It matches the Rfam family "Bacterial small subunit ribosomal RNA", at positions 28 to 528 of the family's 1533-position model. The record is from RNAcentral.